UUUAGCAGUUUCAAACAUUUUAAUUGAAGAACAUUCUGUAACAGCCUGUUCUGUGCUGCUGGUCCCUCCGUCUUCCUCGCUCGCUGUGUGUACUCUUGCAGCGCCAUCUUUGUGAGCACGGGAUCAAAGGAGAAAUGUUACAAGGUAGGGAGCCAGGAAAACACGGUGGAGGUAAAAAUGGGCGGAACCGGCGACGCAGACCAACCAGCUUCCUUUCAUUUCAGGGUUGCGGUCGUGGCCCCUCCUCCUGCACUUUUCCACUGCUGGUGCUAGCAACAAUCUCAGCACUUUUUGAAAAGGAUCAUUCCAUUUAAUCAGAGGCUACAAAGGUAAAAUGAAUAUCUAUAUUCAGCAGGUAAGCAAAGUUAAAUCACACAUGCACACACAGACACACUUAAUAUAAGUUUAGGUUGAAACAAUGUAAAUCAGGUAAAGUAUUCAGCAUCAGGUUGCAGCUUUGUGCAUCUCUCACUCUGCCCAUUUCAUGUGGCAAACUAAAAUUUACUGCACGAGAAGCUGGUAUGUAUGGCUUGUACCGCAAGGCUGCAUACAUGCACUAAAGUGCAUGUUUGGUGUGCACUACGGUGCACCACAGAUACUGCCACAAAAGCAGAAAGCCUGUAGGCAGAUGAGCAAGAGAGUAUCUCAUUCUUGCUUUUUUUGGACAAGUUGGACAAGUUAAAUGUUAACAACAGGUUAAUAUGAAUCUCAGGCCACCAGACCCAGUGAUUCAGAUGGCAGUCUGCCACUGGUCUGUUGAGUUCACUUUCAUAUCUAUGGUAUCACUUUAUUCUUUUAGCUUUACUACAAUUAAUCACUUUUAGUCAUACUGGUGAAAAAACAAAAAUGUAAUGCUGCUUGACUAUAAUAAAUUAGAUUAUCAAACCAGGAUGAGGCUUUUAUUUUGAAGACACCAAACAGCAUAUUUCUUACCACAUUAGCAUGAUAUAAUGGGUGUACAAGUGAGAUGGGUCUCCAAAUCUAUAUUAAAAAGUGUCUGGAAAAGUAGCACAAGCAGAAACAAGUGAGCAGCCAAUGAGAGAGAGAUGAAGAAGGACAAAUGGCAGGCACUACAUUGCUUGUUCUGGCAAACCACAUUUUCAACACAGUCAACAAGUCCCUUUAUCUAUGCCACCAUGCCUUGAAGGGCUGUGGCUUUUAUUACGUGCAUCAAAAAUAGCUUCAGUUAAAGCUGCAUGCCAUGCUUUUCUGGCAGUGAACUGCCUGGAACACCAUGGGAAAUGAAUAACACCAACCCACUUGACUCUGGGGUUGUGGAAAGGUGUUAUCUGAAGAGAUGAAUCAUCACCUGUCAGGUUUGCUGGAAGCCAGGAGGUGCUACUUGCAUUGUCUGGGCAUGGCUGUUCAUCAACUCAAGUGAAACCAGCAUUAAUUCAAGCAUCAAUCACUAAAAUUCUCCUAUUUUUCGGUGCAAGGUAACCGACUUGGGGUCAUUAAAUGCCAGCUCACCAUUUUAAACAAUAUAUUUUCUUGGGGAAAAAAUUAUUUGAAAACCUUACCUAAAGCUUAACUCCAAAUAUGUGUUAGUUAAUUACACGGGGAGUUAAAUUUGAUCUUUUUUUGCAACGGACUGGUUUGAAAUUUCUUUUGAACAUCCAGAAAAAGUAAAAGUAAAAGGCUGAAACUCGGAAGUUUCACUGAAUGCUUUACAACAUUAAAAAUAUGGAUUGAUAGCAGCGCUAGUAGAUCUUUUUUCUUUUUACCUAAACAAAGAUUUGAGCUUAAUGUCUUGAUUAACUUUUACUGCAACCAAACUGGGACCGUUGAGCCAAGCACUGCAUUCUUGGUGUGCAUGCUCAUACAGUACCAACUUGUCAAUCUGUAGUUUGUAUCACACCAGAAAAGUGUUUAGUAAGGUUUUAAACUCACUGUGACUCAGUUUGCAACCAGUGGAGUUAAUGCACCAAGCCAUGAUAUCUCCAAAAGUUGAUUCGCUUCAUCUGGACGUAGCGUUUUCAGUGGGAGAAAUGUUUCGUCAUCAUCCAAGUGACUUCUUCAGUCUCAGCUGAUAUAUUUUGUCAUUUAGGUGAGUUGAUAUGAAAUAGAUUCAAAGAUUGGGCGAUCGUGGCUUAAGAGUUGGGAGUUCGCCUUGU
Molecule: long non-coding RNA, 2114 nt
Organism: Maylandia zebra (zebra mbuna)
Lineage: Eukaryota; Metazoa; Chordata; Actinopteri; Cichliformes; Cichlidae
Source: RefSeq, a predicted model, not a curated record